This 903-nucleotide long non-coding RNA is filed under the name Marmota monax (woodchuck). The record is from RNAcentral. Lineage: Eukaryota; Metazoa; Chordata; Mammalia; Rodentia; Sciuridae.
UACUUUCCCAGUGUUUUCAGUCCCCUAAUGACAUAUGUCAAGGAGCCCUUUUGAUAUGCUUAUUUGCCAUAAGUAUGUCUUUUUUGGUGAGAUAUCUGUUAAGGGCUUUGGCUCAUUGUCUAGUUGGGUUGUUUUCUUAUUUUUAAGUUUUUGAGAUUCUUUAUGCAUUUUAGAUAACAGUCUUUUACCAGAUGUGACACUAAUAUCUUUGCCUAAUAUGGGGCAUUUCUUUUGAUCAAUUUGGCCUUCUUCAUUAAGAUAUUUUCUUCUUUAUUUUUUUAUUAUUACCACAGCAAAGUAGGAUCUAGUGAGUCUUCCUAGAUCAGGAUUAUCUUCAGGAGAAUGGAAGUUUUGAGAAAGGGAGAGGAAAAAAAAUCUUAUUAGCAAUCAUAAAGCUUUGUGGUGGGUAGCAAAGGCCAGUGGAAGUCGGGUCAGGGGGUUCUAAACAGAGGGAAAUGAAAAACUCUGGACUCAAGAAGAUGCCAGAAGUUAGAGGAGAUCUAAAUGUUAGGGAGGAGGGAUCUAAGAACAAUUUUUCUUUGAAAUUUUGCUCUGGUGUUAGUCUCUGUCCUUGUAGAUAUAAGACAUUUUAAAAGAACAGAAUUUUUAAAGCCAGAAAUAAAAUAAGUUCUACCACCUAUUAUCUGAUACACUAUCUGGAAUUCUUCUACAUGUGUACUAACACAUAAAUAAUUCUAAGACGGCCUGGGGAUUGGGGGUCACAGACAGCCAUUCUUGCCUCAGUGCUAGGAAAGCAGUCUGAUUAAAUGGACUGACUGAAGGUUGUGGAGGUUUUGAUUUGUGCACAGAUGGUAUUCAAUUAAUUUAUAUUGUCUGGCUUACUAUUAAGGGACAUCCUGAAAGAGGAGAAAAGACAGUUAUUAGCUAUAGUUUUCAUGCUGG